This 98-nucleotide transfer RNA is filed under the name Actinoplanes siamensis. RNAcentral describes it as "tRNA-Arg". The record is from RNAcentral. Lineage: Bacteria; Bacillati; Actinomycetota; Actinomycetes; Micromonosporales; Micromonosporaceae.
CGAUGCUGGUCGAGCAGGAGGCCGGCGCGUGUGCCUUCUACGUGCUCGUCGCUGAGGACGGCUCCGUACUCGGCAGGUUCAACCUGUACAACAUCGAC